UCGGGGUACUCGAGUGGCGAACGGGUGAGUAACACGUGGGUGAUCUGCCCUGCACUUUGGGAUAAGCCUGGGAAACUGGGUUAUAAUACCGAAUAGGACCACGCGCUUCAUGGUGUGUGGUGGAAAGCUUUUGCGGUGUGGGAUGGGCCCGCGGCCUAUCAGCUUGUUGGUGGGGUAAUGGCCUACCAAGGCGACGACGGGUAGCCGGCCUGAGAGGGUGACCGGCCACACUGGGACUGAGAUACGGCCCAGACUCCUACGGGAGGCAGCAGUGGGGAAUAUUGCACAAUGGGCGCAAGCCUGAUGCAGCGACGCCGCGUGAGGGAUGACGGCCUUCGGGUUUGUAAACCUCUUUCAAUAGGGACGAAGCGCAAGUGACGGUACCUAUAGAAGAAGCACCGGCCAACUACGUGCCAGCAGCCGCGGUAAUACGUAGGGUGCGAGCGUUGUCCGGAAUUACUGGGCGUAAAGAGCUCGUAGGUGGUUUGUCGCGUUGUUCGUGAAAACUCACAGCUUAACUGUGGGCGUGCGGGCGAUACGGGCAGACUAGAGUACUGCAGGGGAGACUGGAAUUCCUGGUGUAGCGGUGGAAUGCGCAGAUAUCAGGAGGAACACCGGUGGCGAAGGCGGGUCUCUGGGCAGUAACUGACGCUGAGGAGCGAAAGCGUGGGGAGCGAACAGGAUUAGAUACCCUGGUAGUCCACGCCGUAAACGGUGGGUACUAGGUGUGGGUUCCUUCCUUGGGAUCCGUGCCGUAGCUAACGCAUUAAGUACCCCGCCUGGGGAGUACGGCCGCAAGGCUAAAACUCAAAGGAAUUGACGGGGGCCCGCACAAGCGGCGGAGCAUGUGGAUUAAUUCGAUGCAACGCGAAGAACCUUACCUGGGUUUGACAUGCACAGGACGCCGGCAGAGAUGUCGGUUCCCUUGUGGCCUGUGUGCAGGUGGUGCAUGGCUGUCGUCAGCUCGUGUCGUGAGAUGUUGGGUUAAGUCCCGCAACGAGCGCAACCCUUGUCCUAUGUUGCCAGCGGGUUAUGCCGGGGACUCGUAGGAGACUGCCGGGGUCAACUCGGAGGAAGGUGGGGAUGACGUCAAGUCAUCAUGCCCCUUAUGUCCAGGGCUUCACACAUGCUACAAUGGCCGGUACAAAGGGCUGCGAUGCCGUGAGGUGGAGCGAAUCCUUUCAAAGCCGGUCUCAGUUCGGAUCGGGGUCUGCAACUCGACCCCGUGUAGUCGGAGUCGCUAGUAAUCGCAGAUCAGCAACGCUGCGGUGAAUACGUUCCCGGGCCUUGUACACACCGCCCGUCACGUCAUGAAAGUCGGUAACACCCGAAGCC
This 1335-nucleotide ribosomal RNA is filed under the name Mycobacterium sp. DWMJ-1586A3. Its description in RNAcentral is "bacterial SSU rRNA". It matches the Rfam family "Bacterial small subunit ribosomal RNA", at positions 82 to 1428 of the family's 1533-position model. Lineage: Bacteria; Bacillati; Actinomycetota; Actinomycetes; Mycobacteriales; Mycobacteriaceae. The record is from RNAcentral.